Long non-coding RNA from Corvus moneduloides (New Caledonian crow), 1098 nucleotides. The record is from Ensembl. NCBI's taxonomy places the organism in Eukaryota, Metazoa, Chordata, Aves, Passeriformes, Corvidae.
GCGACUACAACAUAAUAGCACCCUCCACACUCUGAAGAGGUCAUGGACUUUUGGAUUCUACCUGUUUAAGUUGUUUUUUUUUUUUUUUUUUUUUUUCCAUCAGCAGGUUGGGAUUUUCUUUGGUGUCAGUUUCAAAAGAGUAAAGGAGAGAGUUCGGAAAAAAUGCCAUCUAUGACUUCUGAUGGCUGGAAAAAGCAAGGUCAGUUAGCAAGGCAAGAGCCAUGGCUUUGUGGUCCAGGGUAAUUUUCUGAGGAGGGCAUUCACAGGUGUCUGUGGCACUUUUGCAGGAACAGAGAGGAACCAAUCUAUGCCAAAGCUGUGAUGGGGCCAGCAGCUACCUGAUGUUCCUGGUGCUGAGUAGGGCCCUCAGCAAAUGUCAGAGCUUGUCAGUGAGAAGGGGAUAUUUUUCUUACUGUAACAAAUCUCACAGGUUUUUGAGACAAGCAGGGAAAUUUUCCAGAAAGAUCUCCUGAGAAAAACUAGCUGAGCUGUGGUGGCAAAAUGGUGAAAAUGAAAAACCAACUCAUAGCUCAGACUGUGGCUCCUGCAGCAGGACUGGUGACUGCAGCUCCAGGGAGAAACCCCAGGAUGGAGAUGGGGAUGAGAUGGGAACAGGCACCAGGCCCAAGAGGUUCCUGAUCAUGCACUGCAGACACCAUCCACAUGGCCAGCUCUGCCUGCAGAAGCUUUAAUGGUCUCAGAAGAGAAAGAGCUUUGCCUGCUCUGAGCUUCUCUAGAAAGAGACUCAAGAGAGGGGGCAGGCACUUCCAGCAGGGGCUGCCAGCCGCGCCCAUCACCUCCCGGGCAGGGCUGCUCCCUGCCCCGCUGCCGGGCCCCGUCCGAGCCAGCGCCGUGCAGAGACAGCCCCGUCCCCAGCCAGGCUGGCCGGGAGCUGGAGCAGCUGCAGGCAGGAGAAGGGAGGGCUCCUGCUCAGCCCGGGCCGUGGGAAGGGGGUGCCAGCAGCCAGCGGUGACCGGCUCGGAAGGACCAGGAGUUUUCAGCUUGUGGGCGUUUUUAGAAGGCGAGAAUGGGAGGAGUGAAAUGAUCCACGUCCCCGUUGUCUGUAGGAGAAGGAGAUGUAUUCUGUGCAACUUCUAA